Mycena floridula is the source of this 80-nucleotide non-coding RNA. The record is from the annotation of a GenBank genome assembly. Lineage: Eukaryota; Fungi; Basidiomycota; Agaricomycetes; Agaricales; Mycenaceae.
GCAAUGAUGGUGUGGUGGUAGCAUGUCCAGCUAAACAUUUGCCUUCACGAAUAACCCUGGUUCGAUUCCGAGUCAUUGUG